Molecule: long non-coding RNA, 537 nt
Organism: Gambusia affinis (western mosquitofish)
Lineage: Eukaryota; Metazoa; Chordata; Actinopteri; Cyprinodontiformes; Poeciliidae
Exons: 3
Source: RefSeq, a predicted model, not a curated record
GUUUUUUCAUGUUUAAUCAUCAUCAAAAUGUAAUGCCCAACAUUUAGAUUAAACAGGUAGAUUAGAUUAGAUAGAAUAUUAAGAAUUUUUCAUCCUGUUGCCAUGACAGCAGAAAGAGCAACCGUUGGCUUAGUUAGUUCAAAUUCAACUAGAAAGCACCAAAUACAAAGAAAAAUGUUAACUUCAAGUCAGUCAAAGGAGUAUGCUUACACAACAUUAAUUAAAUUCACUGUAAGCGACCAGCUUGAAACAAAAACAAACGACGCAACGACGGGGACACUAGCAUUUAGCUUAGCAUCAAAGCUAACUUUCGACUGGAAGCGGCACAAAAACAAAGCGGAAAUAAGAAGGGCUUCCCUGUUCCACUCCCCGGUGUGUUGUACUCGAGCUUUAUUUGCCUAGCACCACCUACUGACAGGGAGGGAUUGCGUGAUGACGUGAUAUCUACUAGCCCCUACAGAUCAGAACUGGCAGAUCCAAAUACUCCAGAUCAGGACCCCAGAAAGUCAAUUUACUGUACAGAACAUGUAAAACAAC